Molecule: ribosomal RNA, 460 nt
Filed under: uncultured bacterium
Lineage: Bacteria
Description: partial 16S ribosomal RNA
Rfam family: Bacterial small subunit ribosomal RNA
Source: RNAcentral
CCUACGGGAGACAGCAGUGAGGAAUAUUGGUCAAUGGGCGCGAGCCUGAACCAGCCAAGUAGCGUGAAGGAUGACUGCCCUACGGGUUGUAAACUUCUUUUAUAAAGGAAUACAGUGAGGCACGUGUGCCUUUUUGUAUGUACUUUAUGAAUAAGGAUCGGCUAACUCCGUGCCAUCAGCCGCGGUAAUACGGAGGAUCCGAGCGUUAUCCGGAUUUAUUGGGUUUAAAGGGAGCGUAGAUGGGUUGUUAAGUCAGUUGUGAAAGUUUGCGGCUCAACCGUAAAAUUGCAAUUGAUACUGGCAGUCUUGAGUACAGUUGAGGUAGGCGGAAUUCGUGGUGUAGCGGUGAAAUGCUUAGAUAUCACGAAGAACUCCGAUUGCGAAGGCAGCUUACUAAACUGCCACUGACAUUGAUGCUCGAAAGUGUGGGUAUCAAACAGGAUUAGAUACCCCGGUAGUC